UGGGGAAUUUUCCGCAAUGGGCGAAAGCCUGACGGAGCAACGCCGCGUGAGGGAUGAAGGCCUCUGGGCUGUAAACCUCUUUUAUCAAGGAAGAAGAUCUGACGGUACUUGAUGAAUAAGCCACGGCUAAUUCCGUGCCAGCAGCCGCGGUAAUACGGGAGUGGCAAGCGUUAUCCGGAAUUAUUGGGCGUAAAGCGUCCGCAGGCGGUCUUGUAAGUCUGUCGUUAAAGCGUGGAGCUUAACUCCAUUUCAGCGAUGGAAACUGCAAGACUAGAGUGUGGUAGGGGCAGAGGGAAUUCCCGGUGUAGCGGUGAAAUGCGUAGAUAUCGGGAAGAACACCAGUGGCGAAGGCGCACUGCUGGGCCAUGACUGACGCUCAUGGACGAAAGCCAGGGGAGCGAAAGGGAUUAGAUACCCCUGUAGUC
This 425-nucleotide ribosomal RNA is filed under the name uncultured cyanobacterium. RNAcentral's name for it is "bacterial SSU rRNA". It matches the Rfam family "Bacterial small subunit ribosomal RNA", at positions 355 to 795 of the family's 1533-position model. The record is from RNAcentral. Lineage: Bacteria; Bacillati; Cyanobacteriota.